UACGUAGGUGGCAAGCGUUGUCCGGAUUUACUGGGCGUAAAGCGUAUGCAGGCGGAGCUUUAAGUAGCGAGUGAAAGGUGAGGGCUCAACUCUCACACUGCUCGCUAUACUGGGGUUCUGGAGUGCCGGAGAGGAAGAUGGAACUGCACGUGUAGCGGUGAAAUGCGUUGAGAUGUGCAGGAACACCAAUGGCGAAAGCAAUCUUCUGGACGGUGACUGACGCUGAGAUACGAAAGCCAAGGGAGCGAAC
RNAcentral lists this ribosomal RNA (250 nucleotides) under uncultured bacterium. RNAcentral describes it as "partial 16S ribosomal RNA". It matches the Rfam family "Bacterial small subunit ribosomal RNA", at positions 524 to 773 of the family's 1533-position model. The record is from RNAcentral.